UCAACAUUAGAAUCAAAAGAAAAACUUACGUGAUUUGUGCAUACUCCCUUGUUUUGAAUCAACUCAAU
This is a non-coding RNA of Caenorhabditis elegans, 68 nucleotides long. Lineage: Eukaryota; Metazoa; Nematoda; Chromadorea; Rhabditida; Rhabditidae. The record is from Ensembl.